Long non-coding RNA from Chiroxiphia lanceolata (lance-tailed manakin), 483 nucleotides. RefSeq lists it as uncharacterized. The record is from RefSeq and is a predicted model, not a curated record. Lineage: Eukaryota; Metazoa; Chordata; Aves; Passeriformes; Pipridae. The transcript has 3 exons.
GAGCUCUGGAGGUGGGAGCAGCUGUGGCAGGAGAGGCUCCAUCUCUGGAGGUGGAGGACAGGGAAGCUCCAGUGGUGGAGGCUCCAUCUCUGGAGGUGGGCAGAGCUCGGGUGGCCAUGGAUCCAGCUCUGGAGGUGGGAGCAGCUGUGGCAGGAGAGGGUCCAUCUCUGGAGGUGGGCAGAGCUCGGGUGGUCACGGAUCCAGCUCUGGAGGUGGAGGAGGGGGAAUGAGCUCUGGUGGGUGCAUUGGUGGGGGAGAAGGAGGCUCAGGGUAUGGAGGAGGCUCUGGAUAUGGAGGGAGCUCUGGAUAUGGAGGAAGCUCUGGAUAUGGAGGAGGUUCUGGAUAUGGAGGGAGCUCAGGCAGGAGAGGCUCCAUCUCUGGAGGAGGAAGCUCAGGUCAUGGAGGAUCCAGUUAUGGCAGUGGUGGAUCCAUCUGUGGAGGAGAAGGAGGCUCAGGGUAUGGAGGGAGCUCUGGAUAUGGAGG